CCGCCCGCCUGCGCGCCCGCCGGCCUCCGGGAGUCCGGUAGCCGUCCGGCGGGGCGGGGCGGCCGCCACCAUGGAGCCCCAGCGCCGGGAGCUGCUCGCUCAGUGUCAGCAGAGCCUGGCCCAGGCCAUGACAGAGGUGGAGGCGGUGCUCGGGCUGCUCGAGGCCGCAGGAGCGCUGAGCCCCGGCGAGCGGCGGCAGCUGGACGAGGAGGCGGGAGGCGCUAAGGCGGAGCUGCUGCUCAAGCUGCUCCUGGCCAAGGAGCGGGACCACUUCCAGGACCUGCGGGCGGCGCUGGAGAAGACGCAGCCUCACCUGCUGCCCAUUCUCUACCUGAACGGCGUGGUCGGGCCGCCGCAGCCCGCCGAGGGCGCCGGCUCCACGUACAGUGUCUUGUCCAUCAUGCCCUCAGACUCGGAGAGCAGCAGCUCCCUCAGCAGUGUGGGCACCACUGGGAAGGCGCCGUCCCCACCGCCGCUGCUCACUGACCGGCAAGUGAAUGAGAAGGUGGAGAACCUCUCCAUUCAGCUGCGGCUGAUGACCCGGGAGAGGAAUGAGCUGCGGAAGCGCCUGGCCUUCGCCACCCACGGGACCACCUUCGACAAGAGGCCCUACCACAGGCUGAAUCCGGACUACGAGAGGCUGAAGAUCCAGUGUGUGCGGGCCAUGUCAGACCUGCAGAGCCUGCAGAACCAGCACACCAACGCCCUGAAGAGGUGCGAGGAGGUGGCCAAGGAGACCGACUUCUACCACACGCUCCACAGCCGGCUCCUGAGCGACCAGACCCAGCUGAAGGAUGAUGUGGACAUGCUGAGGCGGGAGAACGGACAGCUGCUACGGGAACGUAACCUGCUCCAGCAGUCGUGGGAGGACAUGAAGCGGCUCCACGAGGAGGACCAGAAGGAGAUCGGUGACCUCCGGGCCCAGCAGCAGCAGGUGUUGAAGCACAACGGGUCAUCAGAAAUUCUCAACAAGCUGUAUGACACGGCCAUGGACAAGCUGGAGGUGGUUAAGAAGGACUAUGACGCCCUGCGGAAGAGGUAUAGCGAGAAAGUCGCCGUCCACAGCUCGGACCUGAGCCGCCUGGAGCAGCUAGAGGAGGAGAACCAGCGCCUUCUGAAGCAGACGGAGAUGCUGACCCAGCAGAGGGACACGGCCAUCCAGCUGCAGCACCAGUGCGCCCUCUCCCUGAGGAGGUUCGAGGCCAUCCACCACGAGCUGAACAAGGCCACGGCCCAGAACAAGGACCUGCAGUGGGAGAUGGAGCUGCUGCAGUCGGAGCUGACGGAGUUGAGGACCACACAGGCGAAAACUGCCAAGGAGUCAGAGAAGUACAAGGAGGAGCGGGAUGCGGUGUACAGCGAGUACAAGCUCAUCAUGAGCGAGCGCGACCAGGUCAUCUCCGAGCUGGACAAGCUGCAGACCGAGGUGGAGCUGGCUGAGUCCAAGCUCAAGAGCAGCACGUCUGAGAAGCAGGCGGCCAGCGAGGAGAUGGAGGCGCUGCGACAGAUCAAAGACACGGUGACAAUGGACGUGGGGAGAGCCAACAAGGAGGCUGAAAUCCUUCGAAAGCAGUGCAAGGCUCUGUGCCAGGAGCUGAAGGAAGCCCUCCAGGAGGCGGAUGUGGCCAAGUGCCGGCGGGACUGGGCCUUCCAGGAGCGGGACAAGAUCGUGGCGGAGCGGGACAGCAUCCGGACGCUCUGUGACAACCUGAGGCGGGAGCGGGACCGGGCGGUGAGCGAACUGGCUGAGGCCCUGCGCAGCCUGGAUGACACUCGCAAACAGAAGAACGACGUCAGCCGGGAGCUGAAGGAGCUCAAGGAGCAGAUGGAAUCCCAGUUGGAAAAGGAGGCCCGGUUCCGGCAGCUGAUGGCCCAUAGCUCCCACGACUCGGCCAUUGACACAGACUCCAUGGAGUGGGAAACAGAAGUCGUGGAGUUUGAAAGGGAGACGGAGGAUAUUGACUUGAAGGCACUUGGUUUCGAUAUGGCAGAGGGUGUGAAUGAGCCUUGUUUGCCGGGGGACUGUGGCAUAUUUGUCACUAAAGUGGACAAAGGAAGCAUCGCUGAUGGCCGCUUACGGGUCAAUGACUGGCUGUUGAGAAUCAACGACGUGGACCUCAUCAAUAAGGACAAGAAGCAGGCCAUGAAGGCGCUCCUCAACGGGGAGGGGGCCAUCAACAUGGUCGUGCGUCGGAGGAAGUCCCUGGGCGGGAAGGUGGUCACACCGCUGCACAUCAACCUGAGUGGGCAUAAAGACAGCGGCAUCAGCCUGGAGAAUGGAGUGUAUGCUGCCGCCGUGGUGCCCGGAAGCCCGGCUGCCAAAGAGGGGUCCCUCGCCGUGGGAGACAGGAUUGUGGCUAUCAAUGGCAUUGCACUGGACAACAAGUCUCUGAAUGAGUGUGAAUCUCUGCUGCGGAGCUGCCAGGACUCCCUGACCCUCUCCCUCCUGAAGGUGUUCCCUCAGAGCGCGUCGUGGAGCGGCCAGAACAUCUUUGAAAACAUCAAGGACUCUGAUAAGAUGCUGAGCUUCCGAGCCCAUGGUCCGGAGGUCCAGGCUCAGAAUAAACGGAAUUUGAUGCAGCACAACAACUCCACGCAGACGGACAUCUUCUACGCCGACAGGCUGGAGGACAGGAAGGAGUCUGGCCCCCCAGGAGGCAGCAGCUCCUUCCUGCACAAGCCGUUCCCCGGGGGAACCUUCCCCGUCUCCCCCCAGGCCUGUCCCAGUGCCUCCGAGCGUAGCCUGAGCCCCUUUCGCUCGGACGCCUCGGGGGAGCGUGGCUCUGGGCCGGUGGACGUGCGUAGCCGGCGGCCUCUGCUGCCCUUCGAGACUGAGGUGGGCCCCUGUGGGGAGGCAGAGGCCUGCCUGGACAAGGCAGAGCCCGAGAAUGCCAACAGCGGCGGGACCUGGCCCAAGGCUGUGCUCAGCUCCACGGCAGGACCCGAGAAGCUCUCCGUUUACAAGAAGCCAAAGCAAAGAAAGUCUAUCUUUGACCCAAACACUUUCAAACGCCCCCAGACGCCCCCCAAAAUAGACUACCUGCUCCCAGGCCCUGGGCCUGCUUACUCCCCCCUGCCCUCCAAGAGGGUGGGACCUCUGACGCCCCCAAAACCUCCCAGGAGGGGUGACUCCAUUAAGUUCCAGCACAAACUGGAAACCAGUUCUGAGUCAGAGGCCACUCUAGUGGGCAGCUCCCCAUCCACCAGCCCCCCGAGCGCCCUGCCCCCCGACAUGGACCCCGGGGAGCCCAUGCACGCCUCGCCCCCUCGCAAGGCCAGGGUCCGCAUUGCUUCCAGCUACUACCCCGAAGGGGACGGGGACUCCUCCUACCUGCCGGCCAAGAAGUCCUGUGACGAGGACCUCACCUCCCAGAAGAUGGACGAGCUGGGGCAGAAGCGCCGCCGGCCAAAGUCUGCUCCCAGCUUUCGGCCCAAGCUCGCUCCAGUAGUGAUCUCUGCUCAGUUCCUGGAGGAGCAGAAGAGCGUCCCGGCCAGUGGAGAGCUCUCCCCAGAUCUCCAGGAGUGGUCCCCUUACUCGCCAGGGCAUUCCAGCCGGCACAGCAACCCCCCCUUCUACCCCAGCAGGGCGUCUGUGGGUGGAGCAGGGCCAGAAGUUUGCAUAGAUCUGGGGCUGGCUGGAUGCUUUGGGGCCACUGUCUCACCCUGCCCAUUUGCAGGCACUGUUCCCCGCAGUAUGACCCCGAGCACCACUGUGAGCUCCGUCCUGAGGAACCCCAUCUACACCGUGCGCAGCCACAGGGUCGGCCCUUGCAGCUCUCCGCCUGUCCCCAGAGAGGCUGGCCCCCAGGGUUUGCAUCCUAGUGUCCAGCACCAGGGCCGCCUGAGCCUGGAUCUGAGCCCCAGGGCCUGCAGCGACUGCUCUGAGAUGAGAGCCUCCCACGGGUGCAACUCCCUGCCCUCCAGCGCCCGCCUUGGGUCUUCGAGCAACUUGCAGUUUAAGGCAGAACGCAUUAAAAUCCCAUCAACGCCAAGAUAUCCGCGGUCUGUCGUGGGCUCUGACAGAGGCUCGCUGUCCCACUCGGAGUGCAGCACUCCCCCGCAGUCUCCUCUGAAUGUCGAAGGCCUGUCCUCCUGUAGCCCAUCCCAGACCUCAGCCGCCACAUUGCCCAGGAUUGCCGUCAACCCCGCGGCCCUCGGGGAGCGCCGAAAGGACAGGCCCUACGUGGAGGAGCCACGCCAUGUGAAGCUGCAGAAGGGCUCGGAGCCGCUGGGCAUCUCCAUCGUGAGCGGGGAGAAGGGCGGUGUCUACGUGUCCAAGGUGACCGGGGGGAGCAUCGCUCACCAGGCCGGCCUUGAGUACGGGGACCAGUUACUUGAGUUCAAUGGCAUAAACCUGCGGAGCGCCACGGAGCAGCAGGCCCGGCUCAUCAUCGGGCAGCAGUGCGACACCAUCACCAUCCUGGCCCAGUACAACCCGCACAUGCACCAGCUGAGCGGCCACUCCCGGUCCAGCUCCCACCUGGACCCUGUCAGUCCCCACUCCACUCUCCAGGGCAGCAGUGCCACCACCCCGGAGCAUCCCUCUGUCAUUGACCCACUGAUGGAGCAGGACGAGGGCCCUGGCACACCCCCGGCCAAGCAGAGCAGCCCCAGCUCCAGGAUGGUGGGAGAUGCCGCCAAGAAGACCCCAGAACCACGAGUUGUUUUCAUCAAGAAGUCCCAGCUGGAGCUUGGCGUGCACUUAUGUGGUGGGAACCUGCAUGGGGUGUUCGUGGCCGAGGUGGAGGACGACAGUCCUGCCAAGGGCCCCGACGGCCUCGUGCCUGGGGACCUCGUCCUUGAGUACGGUAGUCUGGACGUGCGCAACAAGACGGUGGAGGAGGUCUAUGUGGAGAUGCUGAAGCCCAAGGACAGUGUCCGCCUGAAGGUGCAGUACCGCCCUGAGGAGUUCACCAAGGUCAAGGGCCUGCCUGGCGACAGCUUCUAUAUCAGGGCCCUCUAUGAGCGGCUGGCAGAGGUGGAGCAUGAGCUGAGCUUUAAGAAAGAUGACAUCCUCUACGUGGAUGACACCUUGCCCCAGGGCUCAUUUGGGUCCUGGAUGGCCUGGCAGCUGGAUGAGAAUGCCCAGAAGAUCCAGCGCGGGCAGAUCCCCAGCAAAUAUGUGAUGGACCAAGAAUUCUCCCGGAGGCUCAGCAUGUCUGAAGUCAAGGAUGACAACACCACCGCAAAGACGCUCUCGGCGGCUGCACGCAGGUCCUUCUUUCGAAGGAAACAUAAGCAUAAACGCAGCGGGUCCAAAGAUGGGAGAGACCUCCUUGCCUUGGACACCUUUUCCAACGACUCCAUUCCACUCUUUGAAGAUUCGGUGAGCCUUGCCUAUCAGCGGGUCCAGAAGGUGGACUGCACCUCCCUGAGGCCCGUCUUGAUCCUGGGGCCUUUACUGGAUGUGGUGAAGGAAAUGCUCGUGACCGAGGUGCCCGGCAAGUUCUGCAGAUGCCCCCUUGAGGUGAUGAAGGCCUCCCAGCAGGCCAUCGAGCGGGGCGUCAAAGACUGCCUGUUUGUCGACUAUAAGCGGAGGAGUGGCCACUUUGACGUGACCACAGUGGCUUCCAUAAAGGAGAUCACAGAAAAGAACCGGCACUGUCUCCUGGACGUCGCCCCCCACGCCAUUGAGCGGCUGCACCACAUGCACAUCUACCCCAUCGUCAUCUUCAUCCACUACAAGAGCGCCAAACACAUCAAGGAGCAGAGAGACCCCAUCUACCUGAAGGACAAGGUGACUCAGAGGCAUUCCAAAGAGCAGUUUGAGACGGCUCAGAAGAUCGAGCAGGAGUACAGCAGGUUCUUCACAGGUAGGUGUGCGUCAGGCCUGCAGAGGAGGAGCAGGCGGCGGGGACGGAUGCAGGCUUCCCAAGGACGUCCUUCCUAGAAGUGGUAACAGCCCGCGCUUCCGGGGUGCCCGGUGGAUGCUGGCACGGUGAGCACUUGCGUCACAGCUGGAGUGAUGGCAGGCCCAGGGCAGCUUCAGGAAGUUGCAGGCCCAAAGGUAAAGUCCGCUAAUCCCGGCCUCGGGUCACAGCCUGGCGCUGGGUGGCGGCUGCACAGGCGCCCUGUAGCACAGCCCCAGCGUCCCCUGGGCGGCUAGCACGGCGGCGGUGGCCGUGACCAUCUGUCCCCAGCGCCUUCCAGGUCAGGCCAGGUUUGCAGUGAAGUUUGAAGACAAGCUGCACCUUCACUAUCUCUGGUCUUCGAUACAAAGCAAACCAGGAGAAGCAGGGUUCCAGUUGACCAACUGCCAUUUCACUUGGUGACUUUCAACCUCUCCCAUGAAAUCAGUCAUUUGUAGGGGGCAUAAUAACACCGUGGCCACAGAGAGGUGGAGACAGUGAUUUUAAUUAACUUGCGGAGAGUGUUGUGAUCUAGUUCGGUGCUUCUCAUGCAACAUUUGGCCUCAAAACCCAGCCUUGGUGCUUCUGUCUACGGGUCGUCCAGGGAGGAGCCCUGUCGAGCAUUUGCGCUCAGAUCUUGGCAAUGGUCAAUCAAGAGCAGAAUAAAGUCCUGUGGAUCCCAGCCAGCCCUCUCUAGAACUCGGUGCUGGGGACGGCUGCAGCGUGGCCGCCGGCGUGACUGCCGGGCUCAGCUCUCUUUAGCGACUAAAGAUAGACGCCUCUGUAUAUAAACGCGAAGGGGAAGGAUCCAUGAAGCAGGACUCCAGAAGCACCUCCUUUGUAGACAGAGGGCCGCAGACUCUAUGCCUCUCACUCGUGCGCUGUAAGACAGAAGACUCUGUAGAGGGGCUCGACACCAACCUUUCUCGUAGCCAGCUCAUCAGAGAUGCUGCAAAGAGAACCUUUCAGAUCACAAGUUUACAAGCCUUUUCUAAGUAUUCGGUUGUUUAUGUUUACUUGAACGGCUCCAUGUUGUCGCUGCCCAGCCCCUGCCCUCUUCCUCACUGUCGCUUUGAUGUUGGUUUUGUGCCUCUUUUCAGCGAGACGACUCUGGAGCCUCGCUGGGGGCCGCUUUGCUUUGGGAGGUUCUUGUCAGUGGGACCAGAGCUUUGACAAACUUCAUGCUCCUUGGUGGUACCUCUCCUGGAAGGACCUGCGAGUGCGGAUGCUUCGACCGUCGGCGGGCGCGGAACCAGUGCCUUUGUGGGGCAGACUCUCCGGCGGCAGUGUAUUCCCCUCCUGCACAGAGGAGGGCGACUUGGGCCCGUCUCGCGGACGCGUCCCUCAGACUUCGUCUCCGGCCCUCUGCGUCCUCUUCUCGUCCACCUGCAUCCAUGAUUCCAGCGUUCUCUCUGGCCCUCGGAGCUUCACGGGUUCACUGUGACACAGCCGGUUCCAGGCAGGGUGUUAGGCUGGGGCUGAUGCAUGCCACUGGGUCCUCUUUAGGUUCUGUGAAUAGUGACAGCCUUUACCAGUGCAGAUUUUGCAGGGUAAUUCCUCAGCGCUCUAGAGUGGGGCGGGCACAUCAGCUCUACUUGAUAUAAAAACAGUCGUGUUUCAGACUUUGAGCAGAGAACCCUUACGGAAGCUUAAGGAUUAGUGCAGUCACUGUCAAAACUCAAAGAGAAACCGGGAUCUAUCUAGUUUUGGCUCCAGCGCUUACAGCAUGAGCAGUGCUCCACGGGGAUGGCUUUGUUUGGGGUUUGUGUGGUUUUUUUUGUUUUGUUUUUUUUUUUCUACCGCUUCUGACGCUGGAUGUUUCUGGCUGAAGGUUUGAUCUGGUUCCUUCUUAAACUGUGCGUCCUCUUAAUAAUAGGUACUGUACGGGGCUCCGGGUAAGUGUCACUGGGGUAGGACCUCUAUUUUAAUACUGUUCCUAACAUUUCAUUUUACUAGCAAGAAAUCGCUGAUUUCAUUUUAUUCUUUGUAAUUCUAGACACUAGAUUAUAGUUUAGCCAUAGUGACAUUUUUUUAAAAAAGGGAUAUAUUUUCUUGCACAGUUGUUCGAAAAGAGACACGUUUCAGUCCUCAGUGCUGCCCUUCGUUUCACAGGUACACGCGUUCUGGCUCAGACAACUGGGACCCCCUGCAGGCUGUCGAGGGGUCUCACUGGCGCCCCGCGGGGCUGCUGCUCUGGGCGGCGGGGGUGGGACGGUGAUGGUACAGUGUGCACAGGUACUGUUCGGACAGACUGGGAUUUUCUGUACUAAAACCUUCCUUUGUAUCGAAAGUUAAACAGACUUUAGUACAAUAAAUAAAGGUCAAUUUCUGUAA
Lagenorhynchus albirostris (white-beaked dolphin) is the source of this 8183-nucleotide RNA transcript. It is a transcript of the gene named discs large MAGUK scaffold protein 5, with no coding region annotated. The transcript is spliced from 32 exons. The record is from RefSeq and is a predicted model, not a curated record. Lineage: Eukaryota; Metazoa; Chordata; Mammalia; Artiodactyla; Delphinidae.